CCUACGGGGGGCAGCAGUGGGGAAUAUUGCGCAAUGGGGGAAACCCUGACGCAGCAACGCCGCGUGAUUGAAGAAGGCCUUCGGGUUGUAAAGAUCUUUAAUCAGGGACGAAACAAAUGACGGUACCUGAAGAAUAAGCUCCGGCUAACUACGUGCCAGCAGCCGCGGUAAUACGUAGGGAGCAAGCGUUAUCCGGAUUUACUGGGUGUAAAGGGCGCGCAGGCGGGCCGGUAAGUUGGAAGUGAAAUCUAUGGGCUUAACCCAUAAACUGCUUUCAAAACUGCUGGUCUUGAGUGAUGGAGAGGCAGGCGGAAUUCCGUGUGUAGCGGUGAAAUGCGUAGAUAUACGGAGGAACACCAGUGGCGAAGGCGGCCUGCUGGACAUUAACUGACGCUGAGGCGCGAAAGCGUGGGGAGCAAACAGG
This 424-nucleotide ribosomal RNA is filed under the name uncultured Ruminococcus sp. RNAcentral describes it as "bacterial SSU rRNA". It matches the Rfam family "Bacterial small subunit ribosomal RNA", at positions 338 to 776 of the family's 1533-position model. The record is from RNAcentral. Lineage: Bacteria; Bacillati; Bacillota; Clostridia; Eubacteriales; Oscillospiraceae.